GACGAACGCUGGCGGCGUGCUUAACACAUGCAAGUCGAACGGAAAGGCCCUGCUUUUGUGGGGUGCUCGAGUGGCGAACGGGUGAGUAACACGUGAGUAACCUGCCCUUGACUUUGGGAUAACUUCAGGAAACUGGGGCUAAUACCGGAUAGGAGCUCCUGCUGCAUGGUGGGGGUUGGAAAGUUUCGGCGGUUGGGGAUGGACUCGCGGCUUAUCAGCUUGUUGGUGGGGUAGUGGCUUACCAAGGCUUUGACGGGUAGCCGGCCUGAGAGGGUGACCGGCGACAAGGGGACUGAGAGACGGCCCAGACGGCUACGGGAGGCAGCAGUGGGGAAUAUUGCACAAUGGGCGGAAGCCUGAGGCAGCAACGCCGCGUGCGGGAUGACGGCCUUCGGGUUGUAAACCGCUUUCGCCUGUGACGAAGCGUGAGUGACGGUAAUGGGUAAAGAAGCACCGGCUAACUACGUG
Molecule: ribosomal RNA, 468 nt
Filed under: uncultured bacterium
Lineage: Bacteria
Description: partial 16S ribosomal RNA
Rfam family: Bacterial small subunit ribosomal RNA
Source: RNAcentral